RNAcentral lists this transfer RNA (71 nucleotides) under Chorotypus fenestratus. Its description in RNAcentral is "tRNA-Asn". Lineage: Eukaryota; Metazoa; Arthropoda; Insecta; Orthoptera; Chorotypidae. The record is from RNAcentral.
UUAGUAAAAGCCAAAGAUUAUAGGCAUAUUAAUGUUAAUAAUAUCAUUGAAUAGAUAAUAUUCUUACUAAA